AGCGUAGACGGAAUGGCAAGUCUGAUGUGAAAGGCCGGGGCUCAACCCCGGGACUGCAUUGGAAACUGUCAAUCUAGAGUACCGGAGGGGUAAGCGGAAUUCCUAGUGUAGCGGUGAAAUGCGUAGAUAUUAGGAGGAACACCAGUGGCGAAGGCGGCUUACUGGACGGUAACUGACGUUGAGGCUCGAAAGCGUGGGGAGCAAACA
This 207-nucleotide ribosomal RNA is filed under the name uncultured bacterium. RNAcentral's name for it is "partial 16S ribosomal RNA". It matches the Rfam family "Bacterial small subunit ribosomal RNA", at positions 568 to 774 of the family's 1533-position model. The record is from RNAcentral.